This 270-nucleotide long non-coding RNA is filed under the name Prunus persica (peach). RNAcentral's name for it is "long non-coding RNA (PPER_LNC001667)". Lineage: Eukaryota; Viridiplantae; Streptophyta; Magnoliopsida; Rosales; Rosaceae. The record is from RNAcentral.
CCGAAGUUGGCCUUGUGGGCAAGUGUACGUAACACAUGGCCCACAAAGAGAGAAGUGUCCAAUGAUAGGCGUGCAUUUGCGUUGUCAUCAAUAAUGCUUUGGUUUUCCCUCCAAGUAUAUUUAUUUUCCUUCCAAAGUCUCACAUAUUUUGUCGUACUUCCUCCACUGCUGUCUGCAAAUAUGUAUGUCAACAAAAUCGUCCCUUGAUGGUGGGUGAGUAGGUCUCGUGUUGCGUUGCGUUGGUAGACUUUUUUCUUGGCCAGGACAAAG